RNAcentral lists this small RNA (75 nucleotides) under Propithecus coquereli (Coquerel's sifaka). Its description in RNAcentral is "Y RNA (ENSPCOG00000006326.1)". The record is from RNAcentral. Lineage: Eukaryota; Metazoa; Chordata; Mammalia; Primates; Indriidae.
GCAGUGGUAUUUACAACUAAUUGAUCACAGUCAGUUACAGAUUCCUUUGUUCCUUCUCCACUCCCCCUGCUUCAC